UAGAGUUUUGAUCUUGGUUCAGGAUGAACGCUGGCGGCGUGCCUAACACAUGCAAGUCGAGCGAACCCUUCGGGGUGAGCGGCGGACGGGUGAGUAACGCGUGGGUAACCUGCCCUGUACACACGGAUAACAUACCGAAAGGUAUGCUAAUACGGGAUAACAUAUAAGAGUCGCAUGGCUUUUGUAUCAAAGCUCCGGCGGUACAGGAUGGACCCGCGUCUGAUUAGCUAGUUGGUAAGGUAACGGCUUACCAAGGCAACGAUCAGUAGCCGACCUGAGAGGGUGAUCGGCCACAUUGGAACUGAGACACGGUCCAAACUCCUACGGGAGGCAGCAGUGGGGAAUAUUGCACAAUGGGCGAAAGCCUGAUGCAGCAACGCCGCGUGAGCGAUGAAGGCCUUCGGGUCGUAAAGCUCUGUCCUCAAGGAAGAUAAUGACGGUACUUGAGGAGGAAGCCCCGGC
RNAcentral lists this ribosomal RNA (462 nucleotides) under Paraclostridium sordellii. RNAcentral describes it as "bacterial SSU rRNA". It matches the Rfam family "Bacterial small subunit ribosomal RNA", at positions 1 to 497 of the family's 1533-position model. The record is from RNAcentral. Lineage: Bacteria; Bacillati; Bacillota; Clostridia; Peptostreptococcales; Peptostreptococcaceae.